This is an RNA transcript of Osmia bicornis bicornis, 6160 nucleotides long. It is a transcript of the gene named ubiquitin carboxyl-terminal hydrolase 7, with no coding region annotated. Lineage: Eukaryota; Metazoa; Arthropoda; Insecta; Hymenoptera; Megachilidae. The transcript has 20 exons. The record is from RefSeq and is a predicted model, not a curated record.
CUCCUUUGUGGAUGGUGUUUCAGCAAAGAUAAAUCUUUUCCAAUUAUCUUAUUUGUGUAAGGUAAUCAUUUAUAUUUCCCGCGUUGGCGAAUUGAAACAUACGGUUUAGUGUACCAUCUGAAAAGUCAUGAAAAUUUCGUGAUCUGUAGAAAUUGCAUGGAGAACAGCACAGUUCAGACAAGCGGCAGAACAGUGUGAUCCGUCGCCAUUUUGUUUAUUUUCGCGUAAAAGAGAUUUAAGAGAUCACCUAAGCAGAUCGUUUUAUCUUUGUCCGUGAAUAGAUCAGCUGAAUGCAUUAGUAGUUACGUUAGAAAGUUGAACGGAUUAUCCGGACAGAAAGAAAUUAUUUGUAUAGGGGAUUAUUGGCAGUUUGGAGAAAGUACCUAAGAUCAAAACUUUAAAAAUCCAAAGUUUGGUAAGGAGUACGCAAUUCUUACGAUUAUAAACGUGCCGGUACCGCGGUGCGGAAUACGUUUCUCGGAUCGGUUGAGAAAAAGUGAGGGAAUAAAAAGUGAAAAGUGUAAACGAGAUAUAGGUGCUACAAAGAGUGAGAAACGAAAGUCGUGACGACAAGAAGAAAAACAACGUAAGAAUUACGAAGGAUAUCAUCCAAGGGUGAAAUAUAUGGUCUGGGCGUCCCCCCCAAAAACAGGGGCAUUUGAUAGCCGCAGAAAUUGGGCGCAUCGCAAGCAAAUAUCAAUCGUCAUCUUGUGGUGAAACGACCUCCCUAUCAAGUCGUUUUAGUGACGGUAUUUCAGUCGUAAUUGGAAUCGAGCAACUACUGCAACAGAAUUUUCUUGAACCAAAAUUUUCCCUCUUUAGUGAAAGUAAUCAGUAAAUUGACCAACACCAGUCGAUUGUUCUUAGAAAUUCUUUUGCGAUUGCAUCAAUUAAAUUAACUUGAAGUAACCUCGACGGCGGAAGCCGCCUCCGAGGUUCCCGGCACAAUCAAAACGACCGUCAAUAUCGGCAUUGCAAUGAACCACGUUAACGAUCAGGAAAACCUUAAACAGCUCAACCUGGCACCAGUUCAGGUUAAUGAAGUCGAAGAAAUGGAUACACAAGAAGGAGAAACACCAAAUGAUGGUGGAGGAGAUGGAAACGAUACAAGUCCUAUGAAUGGAGAAUCAGAAUUAGCUUGUAUUGUUCAAGAUCAGGAAAUGGAAGAAGACGAAGCAAGGUCAGAAGCUACCUUUCGCUAUACAGUAGAAAACCUUUCGAAAAUGAAAGAAACACAAUUGUCUCCUCCAUGCUAUGUACGCAAUUUGCCAUGGAAAAUAAUGGUAAUGCCAAGGACAAGCCAAACUCAAGAUAGAACUCCUCAAAAGUCACUUGGUUUUUUUCUGCAAUGUAAUGGAGAAAGUGAAUCAACAUGGAGUUGUUACGCAGUUGCAGAUCUUCGAUUACUUUCUUGCAAGGAAGGACAAGAACCGUUUAACAGAAGAAUUCAGCAUCUAUUCUAUAGUAAAGAAAACGAUUGGGGUUUCAGUCAUUUUAUGACGUGGCAGGAUGUCCUGGAUCCUGAUAAAGGCUACAUCAAAGAUGAUUCUAUUACACUUGAGGUUCAUGUAAUGGCAGAUGCUCCACAUGGUGUCAGUUGGGAUAGCAAAAAGCAUACAGGAUUUGUAGGAUUAAAAAAUCAAGGUGCUACAUGUUACAUGAAUUCCUUGCUUCAAACUUUGUAUUUUACUAAUCAGUUGCGCAAAGCAGUCUACAAAAUGCCGACAGAAAGUGAUGAUUCUAGCAAGAGCGUUGCUUUGGCUUUACAAAGGGUUUUUCAUGAAUUACAAUUCUCCGAUAAACCAGUUGGUACAAAAAAAUUAACUAAAAGUUUUGGUUGGGAAACACUGGAUUCUUUCAUGCAACACGAUGUACAAGAAUUUUUACGAGUGCUUUUAGAUAAAUUGGAAAGUAAAAUGAAAGGAACAUGUGUUGAAGGUACAGUGCCAAAAUUAUUUGAAGGAAAAAUGGUGUCGUUUAUAAAAUGCAAAAACAUCGAUUACAAGUCAACUAGAGUCGAGACUUUCUAUGAUAUACAAUUAAAUAUAAAAGGCAAGAAAAAUAUUUAUGAGUCCUUUAAUGACUAUGUAAGUACUGAAAGUCUGGAUGGUGAUAAUAAAUAUGAUGCGGGAGAACAUGGAUUGCAAGAGGCAGAAAAAGGUGUUAUCUUUUCAUCGUUUCCACCAGUUUUACAUUUACAUUUAAUGAGAUUUCAAUAUGAUCCAGUUACAGAUUGUUCUGUCAAAUUUAACGAUAGGUUUGAAUUUUAUGAAAAAAUAAGUCUUGGCAAAUAUUUACAAAAUAAAGAAGCAACAAGUGCAGAUUAUACAUUGCAUGCAGUCUUAGUUCAUAGUGGAGAUAAUCAUGGUGGACAUUACGUUGUGUUUAUUAACCCAGCUGGCGAUGGAAAAUGGUGCAAAUUCGAUGAUGAUGUCGUAUCAAGAUGUACAAAACAGGAAGCCAUUGAACAUAACUACGGUGGCCAAGAUGAGGAUAUGUCUAUAGCUGUGAAACAUUGUACAAACGCCUACAUGUUGGUGUAUAUAAGGGACUCCGAGUUGGAAAACGUAUUGCAAGACGUUAAGGAAGAGGAUAUACCUCAAGAGCUGGUGGAGAGGCUGCAAGAGGAGAAGAGGCUGGAACAAAUACGAAGAAAGGAAAGAACAGAAGCAUACUUGUAUAUAACCGUCAACGUCCUUCUUGAGGAUAAUUUUGACGGUCACCAAGGAAAUGACUUAUAUGAUCCGGAGCAUGCUUUGUAUCGUGUAUUUCGCGUACGUAAGCAGUGUGCCUUGCACGAGUUUCUCAAAUUGCUGAGUGAUAGCUUGAAAUAUCCAAUAGAACAAAUUCGUUUGUGGCCACUGAAUAUACGUUCAAAUCAGACUUGUAGGCCAAUGCCAAUUGAAUUAGAAACCGAUCUUCCAAAAUCUAUUUAUCAAUGUGCAGAGAAUCCAAACGUUUGGAAUGUAUUCGUUGAACUUGUUCCUCCAGAUUCUGAUCUAACAGCAUUGCCGCCUUUUGAUAAAGACACAGACGUUUUGUUGUUUUUUAAGUUAUAUGAUCCCAAGAACAAAAAGAUACACUACUGUGGACAUCAUUAUAUGCCUGUCACAGCUAAAGUCCAGGACCUAAUACCAAUUUUAAAUGAAAGAGCUGGAUUUCCACCAGAUACUGAACUAGCUCUUUACGAAGAGAUCAAGCCUAACUUGGUUGAAAAGAUAGACAGCUUAACGGAGCCAUUAGAAAAAGUCCUUGAAGAAUUAAUGGAUGGUGAUAUUAUCGUUUUUCAGAAAGAAGGGGACCAUCAGUUAUAUGAACUUCCAACGUGUAGAGAAUAUUUCAAGGACUUAUUUCAUAGAGUAGAUGUAACAUUUUGUGAUAAAACGAUUCCUAAUGAUCCGGGUUUCACAAUGGAACUUUCAUUAAGAAUGACGUAUGAUCAGAUGGCAAGAGCUGUGGCGCAAAGGCUUGGUACAGAUCCAUAUCUUUUGCAGUUCUUUAAAUGCCAAAGUUACAAAGAUUCACCUGGACAUCCAUUAAAAUGUACAUUUGAAGGUUCACUUAAAGAUUUGGUUACAUAUUGUAAACCGAAGACAAAAAAAUUGUAUUAUCAGCAACUUAGUAUUAGAGUAAAUGAGCUUGAAAAUAAAAAGCAGUUUAAAUGCAUAUGGGUUGGUCCGUCUCUUAAAGAAGAGAAGGAAAUUAUUCUUUACCCUAAUAAGAAUGGAACAGUAGCCACAUUGCUCGAAGAAGCUAAGAAACAAAUUGAGCUAUCAGAGAAUGGGUCUGGAAAGUUAAGGAUAUUAGAAAUAAAUUGUAGUAAAGUUUCACCCGGUCCAAGAGAGGAUGUACUUUUAGAUAACUUAAAUACAUCUGGUACGAAAUUAUACAGAAUAGAAGAGAUUCCAAAUGAUGAAUUAAAUUUAGCAGAAGAUGAAAUGUUGGUUCCUGUUGCACAUUUUCACAAAGAUGUUUUCUCAACGUUUGGCAUACCUUUUUUCUUUAAAAUUAAGCAUGGUGAACCUUUCCCAAAGAUGAAGGAAAGAUUGUUGAAGAAAUUAGGGGUACAGGAAAAAGAAUUCGAAAAGUUUAAGUUCGCGGUGGUAACAAUGGGAAAACCACAUUUUAUUAUGGAUUCACCAGAAUAUUGCAUGGAUCUCGCAGAUUUUCGUAUUCACCCAAGUCAGAUUUAUCCACUUUUAAACGCAGGCACAUCGCCACAUAGGCCUUGGCUUGGCCUAGAACAUGUCAACAAAGCGCCAAAGCGCUCUCGUAUCAACUACCUCGAAAAGGCUAUUAAAAUUUACAACUAAAUUUUCAUCAUACGAAGAAAAAUAAAAUUAGGCAGCCACUUAUAUAAUUUACACGAUUCUAUAGUAAACAAAAAAGCUAUGUUUUACAUGCGAUGGUUGGAUAAUGUAUUUAUUCGGUUCUUCAACCAAAUAAUAUGCGAUUUCAACGUUACGAUCAUGUUAAUGAAAGGUAAAUCUACGCUUUGUAUACGAUGGAUUGAGAAAUUGUACUGAUCAUGUAAUGAUAUUUUAUGUAUCAUGGAAGUUCUCCCUUUCGAAUCGACAGGGAUUUUAUGUAAUGGCCGGAUCGACAAUACUCCAUCGAUAACCAUUAUGCUUCAACAACAAUGGAUUAAACAUUCUCCUAUCAGUGAAAAUCAAUUUUUCGAUUCGUAAAUAUUUCGCCUUUCCCACUGGCAAAUUAAUUUGAUCAAUAUUGUUGAGGAUAAGGCAUGUGGCUCUUUCAAGAGCAAUAAUUUAUUUAUUAAACGCAUUUUAUUUCUAAAACUAUAUAAUUACAACUGCAAAAUGAAGAAAGCACUCGUGUGGGGAAACAAUAAAGGUAUUUAUAAAUGUAAUAUAAUAUUACCUUCGUAGAAAGAUAUCACAGUUUUUUUUUCAAAUUUUACUUUUGAUCCUGCCACGUAAAAUCUUUGUAACUGAUAUAACGAGAUCCAAAGAAAACACUAUGUAACGUUUUGUGUAAUGUAAUAUUUAAAAACCCAUUAUUAGAAAAGAAUUAUCUACGUGCUCCUGUUUUAUAUUAUAUCCAGGACGUUUGAAAUGCAGACUUACAGUUACCUUGUAAUCUUAUAUUUUGCAUAUUAAGGUAAUUUUUUGCGAACAAAUAAACAUUAAUAAUUUGUUUAUGGCAUCGUUUCUUGUAAAAUGCAUCUUUGUACAUGAGAAUGUAGUUAUCAUAUCCUUGAUUGAAGAGAAAUGUAAUCAGAGUAUGAUAUUGUUACAUAAAAAAAUUACUAUAAAGCAUCUAUGUAAUUUAUAAGUGAAAUUUUUGAGUUGCCUUUCGGACACCUUGGAUUUUUCAUGUUUCAGUAUAUCCUUUCUUUCAUAUGUCCAAAAUUUUGCAAAUUCAAAUUGACCCAUCAAAGACGGAUACGAUAGAUGGACACAGGGUUACUUUGACCUGUAACAAUGUCAUAAUUGUAUACAAAGCUUAAAAUACAUUUAAACAUAAAGUAAAUACGUAUACACGCUGAAAAAAGUACAUAUGCAAAUAUACAAUUUAUACUGCAAAAUGACGGCAUUCGGUACGCGUGUGAAGGUUAAAAUUAAAUUUAAAGUCCAAAUCGUGCGUUAAGUCAAUAAAAGUUAAUUAAUCCUCAUACACUGAAUGCCAAGUUAUUUUGACUCUGUAUGUAUUGUAUACUCGCGUAUGAUUCGGUAUGGGUUAAAGUCUCUGUAUUUAAAGUGUGAAGGUUAACCUAUGCACUCCUAAUAGCAGCUCAUUUUGAUUCAGUAUGUAUUGUAUGCUGGGUCAAAAUGACCCUGCUUUUUGGGUGCAACGAUUAAGAUAGAGGCAAUUUUGGUGAAAAAAGAAGAAGAAAAAGUAGCAAAGCUUGUUUUACAACUUCAUAAUCAUAUUAAAUAUAUCUUUUUACAUACUUUUCUUACUUUUCAUUUGUUAUAUACAUAUACAAUAUAUUUCUUCACAGAAAAAUUUGUCACAAUAUUAUGAUCAAUCCAAUUAUUUAUAAAUCAUAUUUUGUCAAACAUUUUUCCAACUGUGAUUAAAAAUCAUUCAUCAAGCAGUAAUGGCUCGUUUAUAAGGACUGCAAAGCUGGAAUUCCUCUAUUGUAAAAUGCGUUUCUGGUUUAUAAAUAUAUAUACGUAUUUAAAAAUCAUCGAAA